This is a non-coding RNA of Schizosaccharomyces pombe (fission yeast), 1376 nucleotides long. The record is from the annotation of a GenBank genome assembly. Lineage: Eukaryota; Fungi; Ascomycota; Schizosaccharomycetes; Schizosaccharomycetales; Schizosaccharomycetaceae.
UAUAAACAAUAAAUACACCAAGGAUAAAAAAUAAGAAAUCAGCGUUACUUAAAAGUAUUUAAUUGUAGUGUACCCAUAUGGAAUCGGACGUUUGUGCAUCAUUAAUUUUACCAUAACCGCGGAGUUUAUACUUAAAGUCGUAUAAUAAAGUGAGUAUGGUAAGUGACGACGCAUUGAACAGCAAAGUGUCUCUAUUCUAUAAGCUGAACAUUCAAUUCAAUUUAUACGGCUACGUACUAUAUUCCUUCACGAGAUAACGCUUCUAAUUAACGUAAUUAUAAAGCAAGUAAGGUUCUAUUGUUUUCAAGCAACUCUAAAAUUUAGACAAUUUGGAUGCAAAAUUGUCGUUCUUUUCCUGACAUAAUCCAAUUCAUCUUUACAACACUCCCUUCGUGCUUGGGACUUCAGAACUUCCAGUAAGACUAGUAGCCGCGCGCAUGGCAACAGCCAGAGAUUUAAAAGCGCUUUCAGCACGAUGAUGGUCAUUACUACCAUAUAAGCAGGUAACAUGCAAAGUAAUUCCAGCUGCUACCGAAAAGGAAUAUAGUAAGUGAGGGAUCAUUUCACAGGACAAUUCCCCAACCUUUUCACGCUUUAAUCCCAAAUCGAUAACAGCAUAGGGCCGUCCCGACAAGUCAACUACGCUUCUAGAAAGAGCUUCGUCAAGUGGACAAUAAGCAUGUCCAAAUCUUUUAACGCCGGCAAAGUUACCCAUAGCCUGCUUGAAUGCAAUACCAAGUGCAAUAGCAGUAUCUUCUGCAGUGUGAUGAUCAUCGAUGAUUAAAUCACCUCUUGAGUAAAGUCGUAAGCUCCAGCCUGCAUGUUUAGCCAGUGCAUGAUACAUGUGAUCCAAGAAUCCAAUUCCCGUGUCUACUUGGAUUACUUGUUCUCCCUUUUGGUUUGCAUGCUUGGAAGUUAUAAGUUCAUCAAUAAAAUUCGACUCUUCAGGUAAGGGAGCUUUGUCCAAAGCGAUGGCAACGCUGAUUUUCGUUUCGUUCGUAUUUCUUUCUACAAAAGCCCUCCUCAUCGUGAUGCAAAACUACUCUUUUCAAUUAGAUCAACCGAGAAUUACAGGAAUUUAUGGAAAACUUCCUUAUUAAAAAAUGACAAAUAGUUCGGUGUCGUGAAAUUGCAAGCCUUUUCACCCAAAAGAUUUUUGCUAGAUAUUAGACUACCGCUAUAUCCAGCAAGCCAAUUACAGGUACGGUAAUUAUUCGAUAAAGCAAGUCAACACCCCAUACACAAGAUAUCCUUAAACGAGGUGAACGAUGUUUGUUAAAAAUUCGCUGAAAUUGGUUAUUCAUAUUCAACGAUAUAAAUGAGUUCAAUGUCUUAUUGUAAAUAGCGUAUUUAAUUAACAUGAUAUUAACUUUUCC